RNAcentral lists this unclassified non-coding RNA (320 nucleotides) under plant metagenome. Its description in RNAcentral is "partial contains 5.8S ribosomal RNA, internal transcribed spacer 2, and large subunit ribosomal RNA". The stretch from base 1 to 105 matches the Rfam family "5.8S ribosomal RNA", at positions 50 to 154 of the family's 154-position model. The record is from RNAcentral.
GAAAUGCGAUAAUUAAUGUGAAUUGCAGAAUUCAGUGAAUCAUCGAGUCUUUGAACGCACAUUGCACCCCCUGGUAUUCCGGGGGGUAUGCCUGUCCGAGCGUCAUUGCUGCCCUCAAGCCCGGCUUGUGUGUUGGGUCCUCGUCCCCCCCCGGGGGACGGGCCCGAAAGGCAGCGGCGGCACCGCGUCCGGUCCUCGAGCGUAUGGGGCUUUGUCACACCGCUCUCGUAGGCCCGGCCGGCGCCGGCCGACGCUGAAAAGCAACCAUUAUUUCUCCAGGUUGACCUCGGAUCAGGUAGGGAUACCCGCUGAACUUAAGC